UUGUUUCAAUAUGGCGGACGAUGGAGGGAAAGGAUUUUCUCCUUCAGAAACGACUAAUGGUGGUGAUAAUUCUCAAUCUGACACAUUGGUAGAGACAAAAUUAGAUCUAGAAUCUGUAUCGUUGGUUCCUGGUGUCAAACUCCGGCCUGGGGUAGCACCUAUCAAGACUCAGUAUUUAAAGAAGGUUUCAAAAAGUGCUGCAAAUAAAGUGAGUUCAGAUGAAAGUAAAGCAUCAUGCAAUGAAGCUGAGAAAAAGAGACCUGUUUGUGAAGAUGAGAGUGAUAACAACAAAGCAGGAGAACCUUCUAAAAAGAAGAAAAAACGUGGAAUGAACAAAGCCAGACCUCGGGCAGCAAAACUUGACUUUAGCCAGCAGUUGUGCACAAGUGUAGUCAAGGGAGAGUUGUGUGCAUAUGGUGAGAAUUGUAGAUAUCUGCAUGACAUUGAAAAGUAUGUGACAGAUCAUAAGCUGCCCGAUAUUGGAGAAACCUGUGUGAACUUUGAGAAAUAUGGCAAAUGUAUAUAUGGAAUAACAUGUAGGUAUGGGAAGAAGCAUAUUUCCCAGAAUUAUGAAAACAUUGUAAAUGAGGAAUUGUACAAGGAGACUGCCCCUUCAAUGACAAGGACUGUUUUAAGCAAAGAGCUCACAUUUUCAUUGAGGAAAAAACAGUACGAGUUUCCCAAAGCAGACACGUUCCUGGCACAGCUUGCGAAAGUGAAAGCUGAAGGGAAGGAAUACAGUGAACUUGGAAGUUUGCAAAGACCAUGUCCCAAAAGUACAGGAGCCAUCACAGAUGAAGAUGUCAUCAAACUUAGACCACAAGAAAAGAAAAAGAUCAAUUUUGCAGACAAGCUUUAUUUGGCACCACUAACAACUGUUGGUAACCUGCCGUUUCGCAGAGUGUGCAAACAGUUUGGAGCAGAUAUAACUUGCAGUGAAAUGGCCAUGUGUACCAAACUACUUCAGGGCAGUAUGUCAGAAUGGGCCUUGCUGAAGCGCCACAGCUCUGAGGACAUUUUUGGUGCACAACUAUGUGGUUCAUUUCCUGACUCGAUGGCAAAAUCUGCUGAGCUCCUUCAGAAUGAUGUUCCUGUUGACUUUGUGGAUAUCAAUAUUGGUUGCCCCAUUGACUUAGUAUUUAAACAGGGAGCUGGAAGUGCUUUGAUGGGCCGCAUGGGAAAAUUUGAGCAGAUUGUCAGAGGAAUGAACUAUGUUAUGGAUAUACCUCUGACUGUGAAAAUGAGAACUGGCAUCAGUGAUAAGAAAACUUCAUGGAAUGCACACAAGCUCAUUUCCAAUCUUAAGACAUGGGGUGUUUCACUGGCAACUCUCCAUGGACGCUCAAGGGAACAACGAUACACAAGACUAGCUGACUGGGAGUACAUUAGUGAGUGUGCUAAGGCUGCUGCACCAAUGCCUCUCUUUGGAAAUGGAGAUAUCCUUUCACAUGAAGAUGCUGUUUUACGAAGAGAGCAAACUGGAGUAUCUGGUUUGAUGAUUGCAAGGGGGGCUCUGAUUAAACCAUGGAUAUUUACAGAGAUAAAAGAAAACAGACAUUGGGACAUAUCAUCCAAUGAACGUUUUGACAUGCUGCGGGAUUUUGCCAAUUUUGGCCUGGAGCACUGGGGAUCUGAUACAAUGGGAGUUGAAAACACAAGGCGGUUUCUUCUUGAGUGGCUUUCAUUUCAAUGUCGGUCUGUUAGAACGGCUCCCGCAGCGAAUCAAUGAAAAACCUCCACCAUAUUUUGGUCGAAAUGAUCUGGAAACUUUGUUGUCAAGUGGAAACUCUGCUGAUUGGGUUAAAAUAAGUGAGAUGCUCAUAGGUCCUGUCCCUUCUGGAUUCUGCUUCAUACCCAAGCACAAGUCAAACUCCUACACUGAAACCGAAGGAUAGAAUAAUAGAACUUUUACUUUCUCAAUGAAAAUCAGCUACAGUAAUUGUAGGUUUAAAGAUAGUUUCCACAAAUAUUUGAGGGGUGCUUAUCAUCUUCUUUGUCAUGCAUUAUAACUGCCUGGGGCGCCAGGAUUAAAGAUCAUAUCAAAAUGUAGAUAUCUGGUUAAAAUGUUCAGCUUUUUCAUAAAUAUUUUUGAAGAUCUGGUAGGCAUUGAUUUUCUUUUAUUGUUUUCUUGGAGGAAAAGUUAAUGAAUGGACUGAAAUGUAGUCAAUGGUAAAAAAAAUGAAGUGAACACAUGGUGUAUGGAUGUCAUCUUCAAGACAGUCCAUUAUGGUGCUUCCAAAUCUUAAAUAUAAUGUAUGAUGUCUAUGAUUGGUGGAGUGGAAAAAAUGAUGAAAGAGCCAAAAACCUGAUAAACCCUGGACCCAUUCCAAUCAAACAGAAACCAAAAUUUUGAAGACUUACAAAAAUAUCCAGACCAAACAGUGAUUUAUUAAUGUUCUCAGCAGCUGUUCGGAUCGUUUGUAAUGUGGUUGCUUUCUAAAACUGUGAGUAAUGGUUCAUUUUUCUCCAAAAUUGUCAAAAUUAUGUGUGGUGUAUUUUAUGAGGCCAUUACUGGUCAAGGAAAUGAUUGUAAUGUUGUACUAGCUUGAAUUGUCACAGAAAGUUCCUCCAUGACUCAGCGAGUUUUGUACAAGAGCAAUAAAACUCGGUCUACGCGCAAUAAUGGGGUAUUGAGUGACUAAGACAAUAAAAAUGAUUAAUUGAAAUAACUG
Molecule: unclassified non-coding RNA, 2672 nt
Filed under: Pocillopora damicornis (cauliflower coral)
Lineage: Eukaryota; Metazoa; Cnidaria; Anthozoa; Scleractinia; Pocilloporidae
Description: tRNA-dihydrouridine(47) synthase [NAD(P)(+)]-like, transcript variant X2
Source: RNAcentral